Molecule: ribosomal RNA, 445 nt
Filed under: uncultured bacterium
Lineage: Bacteria
Description: partial 16S ribosomal RNA
Rfam family: Bacterial small subunit ribosomal RNA
Source: RNAcentral
GUGAGGAAUAUUGCGCAAUGGAGGCAACUCUGACGCAGCCAUGCCGCGUGCAGGAAGAAGGCGCUACGCGUUGUAAACUGCUUUUAACCGGGAAGAAACCCCAGGACGUGUCCUGGGUUGACGGUACCGGAGGAAUAAGCACCGGCUAACUUCGUGCCAGCAGCCGCGGUACUACGAAGGGUGCAAGCGUUAUCCGGAUUCAUUGGGUUUAAAGGGUGCGUAGGCGGAGCGUUAAGUCAGUGGUGAAAUCCUGCAGCUUAACUGUAGACUUGCCAUUGAUACUGGCGCUCUUGAGUGCGCUUGAAGUGGGCGGAAUGUGCCGUGUAGCGGUGAAAUGCUUAGAUAUGGCACAGAACACCAAUUGCGAAGGCAGCUCACUAAGGCGAUACUGACGCUGAGGCACGAAAGCGUGGGGAUCGAACAGGAUUAGAAACCCGUGUAGUCC